Molecule: non-coding RNA, 2922 nt
Organism: Myodes glareolus (Bank vole)
Lineage: Eukaryota; Metazoa; Chordata; Mammalia; Rodentia; Cricetidae
Source: RefSeq, a predicted model, not a curated record
CGGCGCCGCUCGCUACUUUUUUCUCGCCUCGCCGCCCCUCCCCCUCGGGGCGGAGGACGCGCUGGAUGUCCUGCCGCCCGGCUCAAGAUGGCGACGGCGGGCGCCCACCCCGGGGCUUUGUCAUUGGACGGCGCCCGCCCCCUCCUCGGGCUUCCCUUUCUUCUCCUCUCUCGCCUCCUUUCGCCCUCCGCCUUUCUUUCAAUGGGCCCGCCUCCGUCCCCGCCCACCGCGGCCCCGGCUCCUCCCAUUGGGUGCUCUCGGGAGGAGGGGCGGGGACUCGUGGAGGGGUGGGUGAUGGUGAUGGCCCUAGGAGGCCAGUCAACCAUUGGGUGGGUUGGUUAGGGUGGAAAGUGGGGUCCAUGAGUUCCAUGUUGGGGGUUGGGAGGAGUGGGUGUGCAGCCUUGGGGUGGGCUGGAGAAAUCUACCAGUCUGAAUAACAAAGGCUUGGGUCUGGAGCUAGAGAGAAUGGGCUUUCCACCAAUCCCUUCUCGGCCCCUUGGCAUCCUCAUGGUCUUGGCCUCUCUUGACCCCAUCUUUCUUUCUCAAGAGAACAGUAAACAUUCAGGCAUUUGUGGCAGCUUCCUUCUGGGGAGUGGAGCCAUCUUGGCAUGGUUAGGAGAUACCGGUCGUUGGGAAAGCAAAAACCUACUGUAUGGAACUAAGCAGUCUGUUCAAGUUGGACAAAGAGCAACGAGCGGAAACAAAGACAUUCUGCUUAAAGAAAAUAUUCUUGUUUUAAAUACAUGCGUUUAUCACAGUGCUAUUUCAUACUUCACUGGGUUUUAAAUCGCCCAUUUGGUCCACCAUUGCUAACCUUAAUGUAGGAUUCCAUAUAAUCACUAUCGAGAAGAGUACAUCCUUAAGAACCAGUUACCUUUUGUAUGUGGGAGGAGAGUAGUGGACAUUCCUCUUGUCAGUUUCUCUAUCCCCAUUGAACUCAUUGCCUAUUCCCAUAUUAGCCAUGGAAUGUGUACAGAAUGAAUGUAUAAAAUAGCACUGACUACUUGAAGUACAAAAAUUGCUUAGAACAAGAUAAUUAUAUAUUUUACAUGUAUAUUGCCAUUUUCUUUGAAGUCCUUUAAACUUCAUUAUUCCUCAUGCUAGGGAUCAAACCCAGAACCUCACACAUCCUCAGACAACAAGUAUUACUCCUCCGGUCUACAAGAUUUCUUUAAAAUGUUUAAGGUUUUAAUAAAAUAUGUCCUGGUAUUUAAACCUUCCUUCAGACAGCAUCUUAUUUUGCGGAAGACAAUGAAUACAGUGCAGAACUGUUGUUACUUGCAUACAGUUGAUCCUUUGAAUGUUUGAUCUGAGAGAUACCUGGUUCAGUCUUCAGAUGAGAAAGUUUAGACCACGGAGAUUCAUUAAUACAGCUUGCUAUUAGUAGGGCGGGUGCUUAGGUCUUUCUGUUCCUAAUCUAGAAAUCUUUAAAUGUUGCUGGUGGUUUUUCCACACUGUUCUCAUCUAACUCAAUAGAAAUGCUUUAUGCGUUUUCAGUGGAGUGGCCAGGGGCCAUAACUGUACCCCUGUUCAUACUUCUCACCCACAAAUAAACGGUUUUAAUCUGCCCUGUGGUGGGCAUGGAUAGUAUGUUUGUGCCACAUAACAUUUUGUUUAGUUUCAAUUAAAAAAAUAAAGAAGAAAUUUGCUUUUCUGUCACAAAGCCCAUACGCCACACAAUAGACUUACAGCAAAAAAAUAAAAAUUUUGGCCACGAAUGAGUUCUCCAUGUACCAAAACGAUGGUAACUUUAUAAGAGAAAAUCAUUUUCCUAGAAAAGCAUAACUUGGCUCUCAGAAUAAGAGCAUAGAGACAAUUACCAGCUUCCCAGCUCCUCAUAAGAGAAUUGUGUUGCAACCACUGUAUUAUAACUAGUUCUCAUAGUAAUUCUGAGAACACAUAAUAAUGUGAAAUUUGAAUGAUUUCUAUCGGAAUAUCGAUAGAAUACCAAUUUCUGUGUAGGUGGACACAGACAAUCACUCAGUAAGCUCGUAGACUGGGGAGAGAGAAUAGGAUAAAUUAGGAUACAAUUCAAGACUCAGGUGCCGCUAUGCUUUCCCUACUACGUUAAUCACAAACCCUUCAGGUCUUGAAAUACUAUGUGUACUAUGUAUCUACACAAACAUAUAAUUGAUCCAACUAAGAAAAUAUUUUUUCAGCAAAACUAUAAAAAAAUAAGAGAUAAAAUUUUUAAUAAGUUAUUGAGCAAUCAAGAGUUAAUUUUGUGAGCCAGUAAACAGAAUUUAGCUAAAACUAUGUCUGGGAUUUAGAACCAAAUAUGUUAAAUGGCUUAAAUUAUUUUACUCUUUUUAAUUUAUCUUAAUUUGAAUAUACAUAAACUUAUGUAAUUGAUUUCAAUUAACAAAAUGUGUUUUCAGCAAAAUGUAAAAAUUCUAAGGACAUACGGGUUUCAAUACGUUGUUGAUCAAUCAAGAGUUUAUUUUGUAAGGCAAUGGAAAUUAACUAAAACUAUUAGGAAAUUUAGGAACCAGUUUUGUGUUAAAUGGCUUAAAUUAAUUUUAUACUUUUUAAUUUGGCUCUGAGCUCUAAUUUUUCCUGCUUAUGCCCUGACCUACACUUCUUGGUUAACUCCAAUAGUCCUUGUACAAAUAUCUCCUUACCCUUUCUUCUUAGGUAAGUAAAGUUUACACAUAAUGGUAACAUAAUUCUAGUUCCCAAGACUCUAUAUGAUUUAUGGAAAGAUGACAAGUUAAGUUUUAAUAAUUGGUGAAUGAUAGUUUAUAAUCCUCAGUUUAUUUCUUUACCUCUCAGGAAUGAUGUUUUCUUUAUCUGACGAAUGACAGAUAAGAAUAAGACAAGUGUGUGCAUCUGUUUUCUACAUUAAUAAUUUAUGUCAUCAAAAUUGAAUCUAAAUGAAAUAAAGUCACUGGAGAAACUGACAAUAAAUGUAUUCUCUAGCUA